AUGAACGCUGGCGGCGUGCCUAAUACAUGCAAGUCGAGCGAACGGACGAGAAGCUUGCUUCUCUGAUGUUAGCGGCGGACGGGUAAGUAACACGUGGAUAACCUACCUAUAAGACUGGGAUAACUUCGGGAAACCGGAGCUAAUACCGGAUGAUAUUUUGAACCGCAUGGUUCAAAAGUGAAAGACGGUCUUGCUGUCACUUAUAGAAGGAUCCGCGCUGCAUUAGCUAGUUGGUAAGGUAACGGCUUACCAAGGCAACGAUGCAUAGCCGACCUGAGAGGGUGAUCGGCCACACUGGAACUGAGACACGGUCCAGACUCCUACGGGAGGCAGCAGUAGGGAAUCUUCCGCAAUGGGCGAAAGCCUGACGGAGCAACGCCGCGUGAGUGAUGAAGGUCUUCGGAUCGUAAAACUCUGUUAUUAGGGAAGAACAUAUGUGUAAGUAACUGUGCACAUCUUGACGGUACCUAAUCAGAAAGCCACGGCUAACUACGUG
Molecule: ribosomal RNA, 496 nt
Filed under: uncultured bacterium
Lineage: Bacteria
Description: partial 16S ribosomal RNA
Rfam family: Bacterial small subunit ribosomal RNA
Source: RNAcentral